AGCGCUUGUAUGUGUCUUUGUUGAAUUGACGGACAAAGAUUUAAAGACAGGUGCAAAAAUAAGUCCUUUAUUGCAACCCAGAGCUCAUUGUUAAGUAUAAGUUUUGAUACAUAUAAGAUGAAAUAUA
Molecule: small nucleolar RNA, 127 nt
Organism: Jaculus jaculus (lesser Egyptian jerboa)
Lineage: Eukaryota; Metazoa; Chordata; Mammalia; Rodentia; Dipodidae
Source: Ensembl